GCGGCUGUGAGCAGGACGGGGUGGGGGAGCACACUGUGUGUAGAGAGGAGAGCUCCAGGGAGGAGAAGAUCUUAACGGAAACCAAGACCAGGACUGGAGUUGUAGCUCAGAGGUAGAGAGCUGGCCUAGCACACACAAGGCCUUGGGUUUAACAGGCAGCACCUCAGAAAAGGAGGGGAACAGAAAACAACAACAACAACAACAACAACAACAAAGACCAAACAGGAAGUAGCCUGUGCCUGCCUUAGAGAAGAGCAGCAUUACUUAUCCUCCUCAUCCCAGUCGGGGGACUCCUUCACAUCCCUACCCUCCAGCCUGCUGGAUCCCGGGUGAUGUUAACUGAGAUGCUGUCGGGGAGGGAAAGAGGAGAGGCGCCCGGGAGCAGAGGCAGGGACAGUAGCUUCUGGUCCUCUGUGAGCAAACCUUUUCAUCAAGCAGCCUGAGAGCCUUCAGUGGAGCUGUCCCAGACCUCAAGGACCCUCAGCUCCUCUCUGGGAAAUCCCUUUUGAUAACUAACAAGUACAGGCGCACCGCCACUGCCUGCUGGUUUUGUAAUUAUUUGGGAAAUGUUUCCUGAAUUCCUGUUCCGUGCCAUGCCCAGCGUCGGAGGAGAAUGCCCCUUCUCUGUAGAACUGCGGGAUGUUACCCAGCAGACAAGGACCCCCGCCCCGACCCUCAGCGUGAUAAAGAGGGUGGCUUCCUGGAGGAGGUGAGGUGUGAGGAGAGAUCUGGGAGAUGAGCCGGAGUUGACCAGUCAAGAGGGAGCAGCUGUUUCCUACCCUCAGCUGUAACCAGGGUUCUGCAUACGCCUGACCUUUGAGUCUCAGAAGGAACAAUUUGAGGGACCCUUCAGCUAAGGAGAUGAAAACACCGUUGUCACUCACGGAGGAAGUACUCUGCGGUGUCCGCUUCGUAGUCUGCGUCCUCUGGAAAGUGGUCGAUUUGCUUGCACAGACCUUUGAAGUUCCCUGUAAGAUACGCAGAAGGAGCGAGACCCUGCUCCAACACCAGGAGCCCACAGUGACCAAGGCAGGACCCUUUCUGCCCACGUGGACUUUGCAGUGCCCGGUGUGUACAGAGAGUGAACCGCAGCACGCUCCCAGACUGAGACUGCCCUUCAGCCCAUUCUCACUUUCUGUCUUGGAAAAUCACAAGGAAACUCCAUGCUGCUCCUGGAACUCUUGCCAGCGUGAUUCAAGCGGAAUUGAGCACAUGGAGCCGUGUCCCCUACACAAGCAAAGAUGUUGCUACUUUCAGCUCAAUGGCCUCCUUUCUCUGCCAGCCUGGGUCCUCCUUGCCUAGGCUAACACCGGGUUCCUGAGGCCAUGUUUGAGAUGGAGGCCUAUUAUCUACCCAGCUGGCAAAAAGGAGGAGGGGUAGAACUGGCUGCCCACCUCUGCCACAUCUAAGCAGAGUGCCUCGGAACACAUCAGUCAUCCUCGGGGCUGGUGUCCUGCCUGUGAAUGGGGCUGAUCACUAAGCCUUCUUCAAAGGUUUCAGGAGGGGGCACUGUGGGCUUCCAGGGGCUGUGGUGUACAGUUCCGUCCCUAGGAACAAAUGCUGUGGAGGGUAUCCCUGUUCGUCUCUCGUGUCUUAUCAUAGGCUUGCUUUGUCGUGGACCAUGGCUUCCCAGGCAGAUGGCAGAGACUUGUAGCUGGAUCUACUGCUUGCCAACACAUGAAAGAGACACCUGAAGCUUACAGUUCCAUGGCUGUGAGGGGACCUGGUUCAGAUCCUGUCACAUGAGAAAACCUUUGAGGUUAAAGGUCAGGCAGCCUGAUGAGCCUGGGCACACACUGAAUGGAUCCAAGUUGUGUUUCCACCCUGAUCCUUUGGGAUCGUGGCAAUAUUCUUAAUCUGUCCAAGCCUCAGUUUCUUCUUCUGGAGAAUGGGGCUAAUGGAGUUAUUUGUGAGGCUGGGCUUCAUUCAUAUAUUCAUUCUCUCAUUCAGUCACUCCCUGCCCCAACUCCUGCUUCCUUCCCCGGCUGAUACCUCACUCAUCCAACUCAAUCUCCAAACUUGCCAGACUGACUUUUCUCCUCCUCCUCCAGGAUGUCUUCCCUCCUGACACCCUCUGGCCUGGCACCCUGGUACCUGACAUUUACCCCAGUCAGCAGCAUGUAGAAGGUGACGGCAUGUCUGUGUCCCGGGCACUGGGCUGAGUCCUUUGCAGACAAUUCCCACACUUAGAGAGCCGGAAUUCAAACCCAGAUAAGUCCUAAGCUUUCUGCUGCUCCCUCAGGCAUCGGUUAUGCAUUUCUGUUUUAGUGGACCUUGAUGUACUUAGCUCUGUGUCCCCAGGGCCCUGCGCCGUCUAGGGAAGCCAAUGAGAGUGGCUGAGCAGAUCCUGAGCACUCAUAAUGCAUUGCUAGAACAAUUACAGUUGAAAGGGAAAGAAGAAAAGCUGGGGCACACAAGGACCCCAGAUUCCUAUCUCCAGAACUCAUUACCGCCCCACCCCCCAUUUCACUGGGAGCAAAAGCCGUGGGAGAGGAAGUCCUUCCUACCCAUCGCGUCAUGUGCCCGAUCCAUCAGCUGCCGUGGACAGCAUGCUCAGUGGACACAGUGAGGACAGGCAGGUCCCUUUCCCCGACCGAACUGACAAUUAGACCACACUGCCCUGUGAACCAAGAUGGCUCCAAGGCUCCUAGGCUGAAUAGCCUUUGAGUUAUUUGUACUUUACAGGAAAGAGCCCCCCUCCCUCCUCCCCGACUCUGGGACAGUGCAUUUCUGGUGACUGCUGUGUGAAGGGCUCGGAACAAGCUGAUAAGAUGAUACGGAAGUGACAGCACUCCCAGCGCCAUCUCCUCCGGGUACCUGAAGCUUUUCCUUUCUAGAGCAAACUCUGUAAUAUUAAUAAACGGUAGAGAGAAGGAUGGAAGAGCGAGUCUUCCCUUUGACACGGCGAAGAUCACAGGGACAAGAGAGACCUUUAAUCUUUAUUAAUGUGUCUCGAGGGGGCCUCUCCUGCAAGCUGUGGGAAGCAGACAUCCAAAGAGCUCGCAUGGCUCCCAGUCCUCAGUGUCCCCGGGCGCCUCAGAUCACUGCCUGGUACUGUUCAGAGUCGAGCAGGGCCGCGUCAUGGGGACCUGCUGUGUCCUGGGCAAGAACAAGGUAGUCCUAAGCUGGCUCCCAU
Molecule: non-coding RNA, 3136 nt
Organism: Peromyscus maniculatus bairdii (prairie deer mouse)
Lineage: Eukaryota; Metazoa; Chordata; Mammalia; Rodentia; Cricetidae
Source: RefSeq, a predicted model, not a curated record